GCCAAUAUAGCAUAGUGGUUUGAGUAUUGGACUAUGACUCUGGAGUUUAGGGUUCAAAUCCCUGCUCAGCCA
Molecule: non-coding RNA, 72 nt
Organism: Phrynosoma platyrhinos (Desert horned lizard)
Lineage: Eukaryota; Metazoa; Chordata; Lepidosauria; Squamata; Phrynosomatidae
Source: the annotation of a GenBank genome assembly